AUUGAACGCUGGCGGCAGGCCUAACACAUGCAAGUCGAACGAGUGGCGGACGGGUGAGUAAUGUUUGGGAAACUGCCCGAUGGAGGGGGAUAACUACUGGAAACUGUAGCUAAUACCGCAUACCAUCGGAUGUGCCCAGGUGGGAUUAGCUAGUAGGUGGGGUAACGGCUCACCUAGGCGACGAUCCCUAGCUGGUCUGAGAGGAUGACCAGCCACACUGGAACUGAGACACGGUCCAGACUCCUACGGGAGGCAGCAGUGGGGAAUAUUGCACAAUGGGCGCAAGCCUGAUGCAGCCAUGCCGCGUGUAUGAAGAAGGCCUUCGGGUUGUAAAGUACUUUCAGCGGGGAGGCGUUACUCACAGAAGAAGCAUCGGCUAACUCCGUGCCAGCAGCAGCGGUAAUAC
This 406-nucleotide ribosomal RNA is filed under the name uncultured bacterium. RNAcentral describes it as "partial 16S ribosomal RNA". It matches the Rfam family "Bacterial small subunit ribosomal RNA", at positions 30 to 526 of the family's 1533-position model. The record is from RNAcentral.